Molecule: long non-coding RNA, 948 nt
Organism: Ailuropoda melanoleuca (giant panda)
Lineage: Eukaryota; Metazoa; Chordata; Mammalia; Carnivora; Ursidae
Exons: 3
Source: RefSeq, a predicted model, not a curated record
GUAUCGAAUAUUGCUCAUUCAUUCAAAUGUGCCAGUCACUAGAGAUCCAACAGUGAGCAAGCAACAGCUCUUCUUGUCCUCAUGGAAACCAGAAGGCACACCGAACCUGCUACCAGAUUCUCAACGUCAGAUUACAGAAGGAUAAAGCAAGAGAGAUUGUGGGAUUUUCUGAAAGUCACACAGAGCUGGCUGGAACCCAUGACUUCUGAUGCCCAGGUCACCGCCUUGGGAGCUGAAGACUCUUCUUUCAAAAAUGAAGGCCUUACAUUCUCCUUCUUGAGGCUUCUGUACAGCAUCCCUACCUCCUCUACUAAUCAACAGCAAUGGAGAAUUGGAAUGGAAGGCACUUAACUUUUCCAGCCUCAUCUCCCAGGCGCCAGAGAUUCCAUGCAGGAGACAAGGCCCUGGUGGGUGGUGAGGUGAUACCACUGGAAGCCCCACCCUCAAGGGUCAGGAGUGAGGUAGACUCAGAUACACAAUGUGUGGAGAUUGAGGGGUUCUGUUUAGUCAUUUGAAAUGUUCCUAAGGGGGUGGGUGGCUUCAGAAUUUCCAGAGAUGUGUGUAUUGGAGAUGCAAAGUGAAGAUGAAGUAAAAUCUCUGCUCCUUGGUGCCAGUGGCAGCGUGGAAAUGGCACAGGGAACAGCAAAGGGUGGUAGAAAGUGCACAUGGCUAGCAGCUUGCUAUGCGGCCUGGGAAAAUCAUCCCCUCUCUGGACCUUAGUUUCCUCGUCUCUAAAAUGAGCAAGUUGGACUCAAUUCUGUGUGUUUUAAUAUUUAUUUGUUGAUUACUCUAUAUUUUCUCUUAAAUUUUAAACAUGUGACUAGAAUAUUUUCUAUUUCUCAUGAAAUAAAGGUUAAAUGAAUUUACUUUGUACUGAUGUGGCUUUGGUCAGUAUCACAAUUGGCUAGUAGCACAUAAUGGAAAAUAAAAACCUUUCUCUUUGAUGGC